RNAcentral lists this ribosomal RNA (200 nucleotides) under uncultured bacterium. Its description in RNAcentral is "partial 16S ribosomal RNA". It matches the Rfam family "Bacterial small subunit ribosomal RNA", at positions 1300 to 1500 of the family's 1533-position model. The record is from RNAcentral.
GCAGGCUGCAACUCGCCUGUAUGAAGUUGGAAUCGCUAGUAAUCGCGGAUCAGCAUGCCGCGGUGAAUACGUUCCCGGGCCUUGUACACACCGCCCGUCACACCAUGAGAGUCGGGAACACCCGAAGUCCGUAGCCUAACCGCAAGGGGGCGCGGCCGAAGGUGGGUUCGAUAAUUGGGGUGAAGUCGUAACAAGGUAGC